CAGCACCUCAAGUGGUCAGGAUGAUUAUUGGGCCUAAAGCAUCCGUAGCCGGCUCUGUAAGUUUUCGGUUAAAUCUGUACGCUCAACGUACAGGCUGCCGGGAAUACUGCAGAGCUAGGGAGUGGGAGAGGUAGACGGUACUCGGUAGGAAGGGGUAAAAUCCUUUGAUCUAUUGAUGACCACCUGUGGCGAAGGCCGUCGACUAGAACGCGCCCGACGGUGAGGGAUGAAAGCUGGGGGAGCGAACCGGAUUAGAGACCCGAGUAGUCC
This 270-nucleotide ribosomal RNA is filed under the name uncultured archaeon. RNAcentral's name for it is "partial 16S ribosomal RNA". It matches the Rfam family "Archaeal small subunit ribosomal RNA", at positions 477 to 747 of the family's 1478-position model. The record is from RNAcentral.